Molecule: small nuclear RNA, 193 nt
Organism: Talpa occidentalis (Iberian mole)
Lineage: Eukaryota; Metazoa; Chordata; Mammalia; Eulipotyphla; Talpidae
Product: U2 spliceosomal RNA
Exons: 1
Source: RefSeq, a predicted model, not a curated record
AUCACUUCUUAGCCCUUUCUUACACUUCUCAUUUGUAACAUCUGCUCUUGUCUUUUAAUAUCUCAUACAUCCUCUAUCUGAGGACAGUAUAUUAAAUCAAUAUUUGGAAUCAGGAGAUGGAAUAGGAGCUUGCUCCAUCCAUUUCAUGCAUCAACCUGUUAAUUGCAUUACUUGCCACGGAGAGGAAUAUCAG